GAUGACUUAGUAGUCAUCUUGUUUCCUAUUUCUAGAAUUCUCAAGAAACUUGGAGAAAAGAGGGGGAAAAAAAUAAGAGAGGAAAAUUGGCAUAGCUAGGAAUUUUUCCCUUGAAAUCUUGUGCCAAAAAAAUUAAUUCUUCUAAUAUUCCAAGCAAGUUGAAGACCCUAAUCAACAUAGAAGGAUUGUUGGAACAAGAAGACUAUUCAUUCUUGCAAGGCACAAUUCUAGCAAGUUGAAGAACUAAGUGGAAAAGAUUUUGGGAAAGCCAAGAGUUAAGUGGGAUUGACUAAGGAAGCGGACAAGGUGAGACAAAGCGAUCAUGGCUAGUCUAUAAUACAAUCGGAGGUUACCGACCUUCCGUCACUCCGAUAGAUACAUGACUUUCGUUGAGCUCUCCUGCAUGCUGUCUAUAUGUAUAUGUAUAUGUAUAUGAGGAAUAUGGGGAGGUGUAUAUGUGGCGCUAUAGACGCAUUCCCACCUGAUCAGUUGGAGUAAUUUUCAUCUUGGACGCGGGAUGCCCGGACGCGGGACAUAUGUGGGCACGCCGACGUUGUUCGGUGAUAUGACUUCUAUUUUCUAUGCAUAUGAAAAAGAUAUGUUUUAUAUGAUAAGACAAGCAUGCAUGGCAUCCGGCCUAAAAGGGCACUCAUAUGUACAGGUAGGCAGGCGGACGAGUUCGGUCCUUAGGAGCUCCACUAGCAGUACACCAAGAGCGCUCCAGUUGUUUCGGAGCUUCAUUUUAUCGGUACUAGUUUUGUGUAUAUAUUUGGGCACAGCAGAAACCGGCCCUCCUUGUGGUCAUCUGUAUCUUGUUUAGAGGCUCGUAGACAGACAUGUACAGCUAGAUGUUUUGCAACUUUGUUCGUCGCUGUGUAAUAUGUUAGCAAAGUCUGUUGACACAUGGUUAUAAUGAUGCUAUUAACACUGGUA
Solanum dulcamara is the source of this 933-nucleotide long non-coding RNA. RefSeq lists it as uncharacterized. The transcript has 4 exons. The record is from RefSeq and is a predicted model, not a curated record. NCBI's taxonomy places the organism in Eukaryota, Viridiplantae, Streptophyta, Magnoliopsida, Solanales, Solanaceae.